GUGGGGAAUUUUGGACAAUGGGGGCAACCCUGAUCCAGCCAUGCCGCGUGCGGGAAGAAGGCCUUCGGGUUGUAAACCGCUUUUGUCAGGGAAGAAAUCCUUUGGGUUAAUACCUCGGAGGGAUGACGGUACCUGAAGAAUAAGCACCGGCUAACUACGUGCCAGCAGCCGCGGUAAUACGUAGGGUGCGAGCGUUAAUCGGAAUUACUGGGCGUAAAGCGUGCGCAGGCGGUUUUGUAAGACAGAGGUGAAAUCCCCGGGCUCAACCUGGGAACUGCCUUUGUGACUGCAAGGCUAGAGUACGGCAGAGGGGGAUGGAAUUCCGCGUGUAGCAGUGAAAUGCGUAGAUAUGCGGAGGAACACCGAUGGCGAAGGCAAUCCCCUGGGCCUGUACUGACGCUCAUGCACGAAAGCGUGGGGAGCAAACAGGAUUAGAUACCCGGGUAGUCC
RNAcentral lists this ribosomal RNA (450 nucleotides) under uncultured bacterium. RNAcentral's name for it is "partial 16S ribosomal RNA". It matches the Rfam family "Bacterial small subunit ribosomal RNA", at positions 354 to 796 of the family's 1533-position model. The record is from RNAcentral.